This 69-nucleotide transfer RNA is filed under the name Marmota monax (woodchuck). Its description in RNAcentral is "tRNA.Ala". The record is from RNAcentral. Lineage: Eukaryota; Metazoa; Chordata; Mammalia; Rodentia; Sciuridae.
GGGGUUGUGGCUCAGUGGUAGAGCACUUGCCCCGCAUACGAGAGGCAUUCAGUUUGAUCCUCAGCACCA